GCUCCUGCUUCUUUCAAACUGUUCCUGCAGAAAGCUUUCCUUCUUUCUUUUACAGCAUGUAUGCUACCUUGAGGAGUAAUGCUGAACAUAACACUGAAGUAUGCUGUGUGUUCUGUUAACAGUGGAUUGAUUUAUUUUCCAUGAAUAAGUACAAGGAGUCCUUACAAGAUUUCUGGUGUUGUUGUACUCAUGAACGAAUGAACACGAGAAGAAAGGAAAAAAUUUGGAUGAAAACCACCUCACUUGAUGAUCAGUAAAUGAACUGCAAUUGCGACUCCAGUUUUCAUACCUGCCCAGUUGCUGUGCCCAGACCUUGCUUGGUGAUUGCUGCUGGUGCCUCGCCCUUGCUGCUGUCUGCAGACCUAAUCCUGACUCUUACCUUCUGGUACAACAUCUUGGCUCAGCACUGACCUGCCUCAUCUGAUGUCAGAAGGCCUGGACCACGCUUGAGGCUGGCCACCAUCGCUGGAUCCAUGCUGCUCACCUUGCCAGGUAUUGCAGAACUGUGUGGCUGGCAGUGAGGCUGCUGCCAAGUCUGUUGGCUGCUUCCCCAGCUGGGAGCUCAGCCUGCCCCUGGGGCUUCCUGAGCACACCUCUGCAUGCUGCAUCUGCCCAACUCCCACCACCUGCACUGAGCUGGCUCAAAUGGAAGCAUACACUGAAAUCUAAUCA
This 672-nucleotide long non-coding RNA is filed under the name Chrysolophus pictus (golden pheasant). RNAcentral describes it as "lncRNA (ENSCPIG00010009828.1)". The record is from RNAcentral. Lineage: Eukaryota; Metazoa; Chordata; Aves; Galliformes; Phasianidae.